Thalassophryne amazonica is the source of this 212-nucleotide long non-coding RNA. RefSeq lists it as uncharacterized. Lineage: Eukaryota; Metazoa; Chordata; Actinopteri; Batrachoidiformes; Batrachoididae. The record is from RefSeq and is a predicted model, not a curated record. The transcript has 2 exons.
CUGGAGGAGAGAUGCUGAGUGCUGUCGGGAAGAAGCGCUGAGGGAGGAAGAGUGGAGGCAGUAAGUGCAGGAAGGCACCGGAGUCUGUGCGCACCAAUAAAGUAAUGGCACCGGCUGGAUUCUGCAGGUGUGAUCAAACGUCACGUCCGGAUCGUCCAUCUGGGAGUUGCACUUUGGACACGAGCAGACAAACAGGUAGUUCUCCCUGGAAA